Cercocebus atys (sooty mangabey) is the source of this 2426-nucleotide long non-coding RNA. RefSeq lists it as uncharacterized. The transcript is spliced from 4 exons. The record is from RefSeq and is a predicted model, not a curated record. Lineage: Eukaryota; Metazoa; Chordata; Mammalia; Primates; Cercopithecidae.
UUUCUGGAAAAUAACAAAUUCAGACUCAACUGGUGACAGCUUUUGGCUAUAGAGAAUGAAACUGCUUUCCUUUGGCAGUGGAACUCUUAAACUUGGGAGAGUGAAAGAAUACAAUGAAAUAAAAUGCCGUUAAGAUCACUGGAUUUUUCAGAUAAAGGACGACCCCAAAUUACUCCCAAAAUGAGGCUUUGUAAAUUCUUGUUAAAAAUCUUUAAAUCUCGAAUUUCCCCUACAACAUCUGAUGAGGGUUUUAGGAGCAAAUAAGUAAAUCCCACCUCGAGAAUCAACAAACCAGGCUCUAGCCAAGGCUCUCCCCACGUUUUCUUCUCGUGACCUGGGGAAGGUCCCGCCCCAUCGCUCACCUGGCUCUUGUCACCUCGGUCAUCUUGAAGUGAUCCGUGGACAAUGCUGCUCCCUGCCGCAGAUCCGCUGGUCACUCAGGCAGAACGCGGUAUGCAAAUGGCCUGGAGAGGCCGAGGCCCGAACACUGCGCCCAUUGUCCCGGGCGCUCAAAGCGCCGAGCAGCUGCGCAGAAUUUCUGGGCUCGGACCCUCGGCCGCCACGCUAAUGUCAUCAUUGCAAAACAUCAGAUUCUGAGAACUAUGCAGUCUGAAUUCAUUAGCAGCCUUCCCGGCGAAGAUUCUUUUCCCCGUGACAAGUUUCAAAGUCCAGACCCCCUCCAACGUUGAUAGGGGUAGGAAGAGGAGGAGGGACCCGGGGAGGGGGGUCUUUCGCAAGUGGGGCCUCGCGGGAUCCCUGCUCUCCUCCUUCUGCUGCGUUCUACAACUUUAAAAGCCUUCCUUGGGGUUCUGAGCAAGGAUGUCUGACUCGAAUGACCUGAGAUUUGGACAUUUUCCCGUUUUCUCUCAAGUGUAGCUUUAAUGUUGUGAGUUUAAAUUCACCAAAAGAGGCCCAGAUAUCAAGUCGAGUGAAUUUCACAGCAUCUUCUUCUGUUUUAAUCGUUUCUGAAGUCAUAUCCUUUAGGGUGAACUCACAACAAUGCAAGUCAGAGAGACUGCGCACCCUAAAGCAAACCAGUUAAAACGUCAGGCCAGAUCUUCAAGCUACAGGAUUGCAAGCAGCUCAUAAACUUCCAGUCCCCACCCUGAGACAAGGACUCCAGGCUGCCCUCCCCUCUCUGCCGCAUCUGAGGCUGGAAAAACUUCCUAUAAGAAGGCAAGAGAAAGCCACCAGAAUGGUACAAUGUGGCUUGAAGACUCUGGAAAGUCACAGAUCAGACCCUGCAGAAGGUUCCUCGUGUGUGCCUGGGCAACCUUGCCUCCAUCCUCUGGCCCCAGUUCCUGCCACUCCAGGUGCAGUCAGCAAUCUUACACGAACUCUGCGGUAAUGUCUGAAGAAUCUGGCUCCAAGUGUUUGAUAAUGACGAGAUAUGCAUGACCAAGGAGACUGUGUGAUGUCUGCACAGUUCGAAAGCCCGCAUUCCUGUUACUUUCCAAUCUCAGGUCAGCAUUUUGGAACUUUUCUGCUUUAAUUUUUCCACACACACCUCUCGCUGCCACCUCCUACCAAAACAAAGCAAACAAACAAAGUUUGAGCAAGAAUUUACAUCUGGGAAAAUGCUUCUACUCAUCAAGAGUGCAAUUCCUUUUUACUCCUAUAAUUGAUUCACAGCUUCAAAAAGCUGUGAAGUCAUACUUUGGUCAUGGAAGUUGCAGGAGACCAUAUUUGCCAACAUUUUAUUUUAAAGAAGGUAUUUAAAACUAUUUUACAUAUUAACCACGAUUUCUAGAAGUGAAGUUAUAAAAAUCAAAAGUUAUAUUUUACCUUUUGAUAAGUGAAAAGAGAUUGCUCCAAGAAUGUUGUUUUCAAUAAAUUCAGUAUAACUGCAACACAAAAAUUCUGCAUACAGGCUUCAUAUAAUUUUGCAUACACACAUUAUAAUUUUAUGUAUUUGAGAGUUGUAUAAUUAAUUUUUAAAAUGCAACAAAAAAUAUGAGGUUAAGUCUACUUUGCCAAUAAUGGAAGUGUCUCAUAGAUAAUUUUGAAUACAAUUAAAAUUUUGUUUUUAUCCUAAAAGGAACUGUCCUGUUGCUCAUUAUUAGUAUGUUGUCCACUUAUUGUUCUAUUUUUGGCUAUCUUGAAUUUAACUAAAGGAAAAAGAAAAUGUGAAAUACCAAGGAUGAGCCAAGUUUUGUGGGUAAACUAAUUGAGAUGGUUGAUUUUGGUAUUAACUCUUUGGGGAAUACCACUCUUGUUAAAAUUUAAGUAAGGAACUAGUAGAAAUAUUUUAUUCUUUAAUCAAACUACAUGUUUAAAAAACAAUGCCAAAGAAGAAACUAAAAAAGUAGCACGUAUCCUGUUAAAGAAAGAGCCAUCAGCAUCCCAUUGGAAGCUCCAGCACUCUGACUUUGGAUUUGUAGGAUGCUCUGUUCGUUUAGUAUAUGUAUUACACAGCCUCAUUUGCA